UAUCGAUUGGUGCAAACCGAAAUUACUUUCUUGCCAACCCGAUAAGAUCUCCGGUCCCAAAAGAUAAACAGAAAGAAGGUAUUAAACGGUGAUAAAGGGCGACAGCGCGAGAACUCGUGAAGAGUAAUCGCGCGAGAGAAUCGGGACGAAAAUACAGAGAAAGAUGUCCGAAAGCAUAAACGACGAAGACGGUUGCCGUAACGCUAUCUAUUGGUGCAAACCGAAAUUACUUUCUUGCCAAGCCAAUGCAUAGAUGAACACAAGUAAUUUCGAUGAUCAUCGUGAUCGUUAACUUCGAGGUUAAGAUCGUUAACUCGAGAUAGUCUGGAACGACUCAAAGCGUAUAAAUUAAUUGUAUAAAGCAUGUCGCAAUGAUUCUAUUAUAUUUGGCCAAAAUACGUCGUGGUUUGGAAACUUUGUUUCGUGCGCUUCGAUGGCUCAGAUUUGUGCGCCAUGAGAGGAAAUCUGGGAUUCAUAGCCAAGGAUUGUUCCACGAAAUUGUUUAAUGCUAACAAAAAUGCCGAUCGUUCAUCAAGGACUUCUUCACGGGGACAAAUUUAAAUUUAUUUCGCCAUUCCACAAUUACACCGAUGCACUUCCGCGAAGGACAAACUAAAGAAGUUCGAUCAACGGUGUUAAAUUGUCCUGUAUCUGUUCCUAUCUGCAACAGGAACAAAAUUAUAACCCAACUAAAACUCAA
Molecule: non-coding RNA, 700 nt
Organism: Megalopta genalis
Lineage: Eukaryota; Metazoa; Arthropoda; Insecta; Hymenoptera; Halictidae
Source: RefSeq, a predicted model, not a curated record